RNAcentral lists this ribosomal RNA (253 nucleotides) under uncultured bacterium. RNAcentral's name for it is "partial 16S ribosomal RNA". It matches the Rfam family "Bacterial small subunit ribosomal RNA", at positions 524 to 776 of the family's 1533-position model. The record is from RNAcentral.
UACGUAGGGGUCUAGCGUUGUCCGGAAUUAUUGGGCGUAAAGAGCUCGUAGGCGGUUCGGCAAGUCGGAUGUGAAAUCUCCACGCUUAACGUGGAGGGGCCAUUCGAAACUGCCGUGACUCGAGUCCGGUAGGGGAGUUCGGAAUUCCCGGUGUAGCGGUGAAAUGCGCAGAUAUCAGGAGGAACACCAAUGGCGAAGGCAGCUCUCUGGUACAUGACUGACGUGAGACGCGAAAGCGUGGGUAGCAAACAGG